This 382-nucleotide ribosomal RNA is filed under the name uncultured eukaryote. Its description in RNAcentral is "partial 18S ribosomal RNA". It matches the Rfam family "Eukaryotic small subunit ribosomal RNA", at positions 592 to 976 of the family's 1831-position model. The record is from RNAcentral.
CAAUAGCGUAUAUUAAAGUUGUUGCAGUUAAAAAGCUCGUAGUUGGAUUUCUGGUUGAAGCGACCGGUCGGGCGUUGAUUCGUCUGCACUGGAGUCGGUUUUGGCCAUCCUCUAGGAAAGUGCGUCUGGUAUUAAGUUAUCGGGCGUAUGAUCCUGGUCUUUUACUGUGAAAAAAUUAGAGUGUUUAAAGCAGGCCUUCGCCUUGAGUACAUUAGCAUGGAAUAAUAAGAUAGGACUUUGGUCUAUUUUGUUGGUUUGCAGACCGAAGUAAUGAUUAAUAGGGAUAGUUGGGGGUAUUUAUAUUCCGAUGUCAGAGGUGAAAUUCUUAGAUUUUCGGAAGAUAAACUUAUGCGAAAGCAUUUACCAAGGAUGUUUUCAUUAA